UACAGAGGGUGCGAGCGUUAAUCGGAAUUACUGGGCGUAAAGCGUGCGUAGACGGUUAUGUAAGUCAGAUGUGAAAGCCUCGGGCUCAACCUGGGAACGGCGCUUGGGACGGCGAGGCUGGAGUUCGGGAGAGGAGAGUGGAAUUCCCAGUGUAGAGGUGAAAUUCGUAGAUAUUGGGAAGAACACCGGUGGCGAAGGCGGCUCUCUGGAGCGACACUGACGCUGAGGCGCGAAAGCGUGGGGAGCAAACAGG
RNAcentral lists this ribosomal RNA (253 nucleotides) under uncultured bacterium. RNAcentral's name for it is "partial 16S ribosomal RNA". It matches the Rfam family "Bacterial small subunit ribosomal RNA", at positions 524 to 776 of the family's 1533-position model. The record is from RNAcentral.